UACCAAAAUUAUUGCAUACGACAUAUUUCC
This 30-nucleotide non-coding RNA is filed under the name Mus musculus (house mouse). Lineage: Eukaryota; Metazoa; Chordata; Mammalia; Rodentia; Muridae. The record is from RNAcentral.